Molecule: unclassified non-coding RNA, 257 nt
Filed under: Hevea brasiliensis (rubber tree)
Lineage: Eukaryota; Viridiplantae; Streptophyta; Magnoliopsida; Malpighiales; Euphorbiaceae
Source: RNAcentral
GUUAUAGCUGUCUUCUUCUCUUCCCCAAACCGGUUGGUUAACUGCAUCAAAAUGCCAUUGUUGUUGAUAAUUUUGUCUGUUCCCAUUAACUUGGACUUCUGGCCACGUCAGAGGCAUAACCAUGCUGGGGAAAUUACUGUCCAUUAAAGAUCCACCUUCUGCAGCUAAUGUACUGUCAAGAUUGAAAUCAAUUCUCGGGUUCACUGCUGCAAGUCUCAUUGAUAAGAACUCCACUUGGCGUUGUAGUGACUGUACAU